GCGUGCCUAACACAUGCAAGUCGAGCGAAGGAAGGGAGCUUGCUCCCCAACUUAGCGGCGCACGGGUGAGUAACACGUGGAUAAUCUACCCUUCAGCUAUGGGAUAACAGUUGGAAACGACUGCUAAUACCACAUACSAUCCAACGUUUACAUUUGGGUGAAAGGCGGUGCAAGCUGUCGCUGAARGAUGAGUCCGCSUCUCAUUAUGUAGUGGGUAGGGUAAAGGCCUACCAASCCGAUGAUGAGUASCCGCCCUGAUANGUUGAACGGCCACAAUGGGGSUGGAACACGGCCCACACUCCUACGGGAGGCAGCAGUGGGGAAUAUUGCGCAAUGGGCGAAAGCCUGACGCAGCGACGCCGCGUGAGGGAUGAAGGCCUUCGGGUUGUAAAGACAGGUGCUGCAUGGCUGUCGUCAGCUCGUGCCGUGAGAUGUUGGGUUAAGUCCCGCAACGAGCGCAACCCCUAUUAUUAGUUGCCAUCAGGUAAUGCUGGGCACUCUAAUGAGACUGCUGUGGUUAACACAGAGGAAGGUGGGGACGACGUCAAGUCAUCAUGGCCCUUAANCCUAGGGCUACACACGUACUACAAUGGCGCGCACAAAGGGAAGCAAACCCGCGAGGCCAAGCCAAUCCCAACAAACGCGUCCCAGUCCGGAUUGCAGUCUGCAACUCGACUGCAUGAAGUUGGAAUCGCUAGUAAUUCUGGAUCAGCAUGCCAGGGUGAAUGCGUUCCCGGGCCUUGUACACACCGCCCGUCACACCACGAAAGUUGGUUUUACCCGAAGCCGGCGAGCUAACCGUCAAGGAGGCAGCCGUCUACG
This 822-nucleotide ribosomal RNA is filed under the name uncultured Eubacterium sp. RNAcentral's name for it is "bacterial SSU rRNA". It matches the Rfam family "Bacterial small subunit ribosomal RNA". Lineage: Bacteria; Bacillati; Bacillota; Clostridia; Eubacteriales; Eubacteriaceae. The record is from RNAcentral.